RNAcentral lists this ribosomal RNA (433 nucleotides) under uncultured bacterium. Its description in RNAcentral is "partial 16S ribosomal RNA". It matches the Rfam family "Bacterial small subunit ribosomal RNA", at positions 29 to 507 of the family's 1533-position model. The record is from RNAcentral.
AACGAACGCUGGCGGCAUGCCUAACACAUGUAAGUCGAACGAGACCUUCGGGUCUAGUGGCGCACGGGUGCGUAACGCGUGGGAACCUGCCCUUAGGUUCGGAAUAACUCCCCGAAAGGGGUGCUAAUACCGGAUAAUGUCUUCGGACCAAGGAUUUAUCGCCUUUGGAUGGGCCCGCGUUGGAUUAGCUAGUUGGUAGGGUAAAAGCCUACCAAGGCGACGAUCCAUAGCUGGUCUGAGAGGAUGAUCAGCCACACUGGGACUGAGACACGGCCCAGACUCCUACGGGAGGCAGCAGUGGGGAAUAUUGGACAAUGGGCGAAAGCCUGAUCCAGCAAUGCCGCGUGAGUGAUGAAGGCCUUAGGGUUGUAAAGCUCUUUUACCCGGGAUGAUAAUGACAGUACCGGGAGAAUAAGCUCCGGCUAACUCCGUG